RNAcentral lists this unclassified non-coding RNA (144 nucleotides) under Clavispora lusitaniae. RNAcentral describes it as "partial internal transcribed spacer region". The stretch from base 1 to 46 matches the Rfam family "Eukaryotic small subunit ribosomal RNA", at positions 1786 to 1831 of the family's 1831-position model. RNAcentral also lists the same sequence under 2 other names. Lineage: Eukaryota; Fungi; Ascomycota; Pichiomycetes; Serinales; Metschnikowiaceae. The record is from RNAcentral.
AAGUCGUAACAAGGUUUCCGUAGGUGAACCUGCGGAAGGAUCAUUAAAAUAAUACUUACACUUUGCAUUUGCGAACAAAAAAAAGAACAUUACACUUCUAAUAUAUUUUUAUCAAAACUUUCAACAACGGAUCUCUUGGUUCUC